UUUACAUAUGUGCCAAGUGGGGCUGGUUGGUGUCACACCUAGUAGGAUACCAUGUGCAAGGACCUGGGUUCAAGUCCUCAGUCUCUACAUGCAGAGGAGAAGCUUCACAAUCAGUAAAGCUGUGUUGCAGGUAUCUUUCUUUCUUACUUCCUCUCUGUCUCCCCCUUCAAUUUCUCUCUGUUUCUAUCCAAAAAACAUAAAUAAAUAAAUAAAU
Long non-coding RNA from Erinaceus europaeus (western European hedgehog), 214 nucleotides. RefSeq lists it as uncharacterized. The record is from RefSeq and is a predicted model, not a curated record. NCBI's taxonomy places the organism in Eukaryota, Metazoa, Chordata, Mammalia, Eulipotyphla, Erinaceidae. The transcript is spliced from 2 exons.